RNAcentral lists this ribosomal RNA (501 nucleotides) under uncultured bacterium. RNAcentral's name for it is "partial 16S ribosomal RNA". It matches the Rfam family "Bacterial small subunit ribosomal RNA", at positions 30 to 523 of the family's 1533-position model. The record is from RNAcentral.
AUUGAACGCUGGCGGCAGGCUUAACACAUGCAAGUCGAGCGGAGAUGAGGUGCUUGCACCUUAUCUUAGCGGCGGACGGGUGAGUAAUGCUUAGGAAUCUGCCUAUUAGUGGGGGACAACAUUCCGAAAGGAAUGCUAAUACCGCAUACGUCCUACGGGAGAAAGCAGGGGAUCUUCGGACCUUGCGCUAAUAGAUGAGCCUAAGUCGGCCUAGCUAGUUGGUGGGGUAAAGGCCUACCAAGGCGACGAUAUGUGGCGGGUCUGAGAGGAUGAUCCGCCACACUGGGGCUGAGACACGGCCCAGACUCCGACGGGAGGUAGCAGUGGGGAAUAUUGGACAAUGGGGGGAACCCUGAUCCAGCCAUGCCGCGUGUGUGAAGAAGGCCUUAUGGUUGUAAAGCACUUUAAGCGAGGAGGAGGCUACUGAGACUAAUACUCUUGGAUAGUGGACGUUACUCGCAGAAUAAGCACCGGCUAACUCUGUGCCAGCCGCCGCCGUAA